RNAcentral lists this ribosomal RNA (439 nucleotides) under uncultured bacterium. Its description in RNAcentral is "bacterial SSU rRNA". It matches the Rfam family "Bacterial small subunit ribosomal RNA", at positions 349 to 780 of the family's 1533-position model. The record is from RNAcentral.
CAGCAGUGGGGAAUAUUGGACAAUGGGCGCAAGCCUGAUCCAGCCAUACCGCGUGGGUGAAGAAGGCCUUCGGGUUGUAAAGCCCUUUUGUUGGGAAAGAAAUCCAGCCGGCUAAUACCCGGUUGGGAUGACGGUACCCAAAGAAUAAGCACCGGCUAACUUCGUGCCAGCAGCCGCGGUAAUACGAAGGGUGCAAGCGUUACUCGGAAUUACUGGGCGUAAAGCGUGCGUAGGUGGUCGUUUAAGUCCGUUGUGAAAGCCCUGGGCUCAACCUGGGAACUGCAGUGGAUACUGGGCGACUAGAGUGUGGUAGAGGGUAGCGGAAUUCCUGGUGUAGCAGUGAAAUGCGUAGAGAUCAGGAGGAACAUCCAUGGCGAAGGCAGCUACCUGGACCAACACUGACACUGAGGCACGAAAGCGUGGGGAGCAAACAGGAUUA